This 2782-nucleotide ribosomal RNA is filed under the name Escherichia coli. RNAcentral's name for it is "partial 23S ribosomal RNA". It matches the Rfam family "Bacterial large subunit ribosomal RNA". Lineage: Bacteria; Pseudomonadati; Pseudomonadota; Gammaproteobacteria; Enterobacterales; Enterobacteriaceae. The record is from RNAcentral.
UGUUUCGACACACUAUCAUUAACUGAAUCCAUAGGUUAAUGAGGCGAACCGGGGGAACUGAAACAUCUAAGUACCCCGAGGAAAAGAAAUCAACCGAGAUUCCCCCAGUAGCGGCGAGCGAACGGGGAGGAGCCCAGAGCCUGAAUCAGUGUGUGUGUUAGUGGAAGCGUCUGGAAAGGCGCGCGAUACAGGGUGACAGCCCCGUACACAAAAAUGCACAUAUUGUGAGCUCGAUGAGUAGGGCGGGACACGUGGUAUCCUGUCUGAAUAUGGGGGGACCAUCCUCCAAGGCUAAAUACUCCUGACUGACCGAUAGUGAACCAGUACCGUGAGGGAAAGGCGAAAAGAACCCCGGCGAGGGGAGUGAAAAAGAACCUGAAACCGUGUACGUACAAGCAGUGGGAGCCUCUUAAUGGGGUGACUGCGUACCUUUUGUAUAAUGGGUCAGCGACUUAUAUUCUGUAGCAAGGUUAACCGAAUAGGGGAGCCGAAGGGAAACCGAGUCUUAACUGGGCGUUAAGUUGCAGGGUAUAGACCCGAAACCCGGUGAUCUAGCCAUGGGCAGGUUGAAGGUUGGGUAACACUAACUGGAGGACCGAACCGACUAAUGUUGAAAAAUUAGCGGAUGACUUGUGGCUGGGGGUGAAAGGCCAAUCAAACCGGGAGAUAGCUGGUUCUCCCCGAAAGCUAUUUAGGUAGCGCCUCGUGAAUUCAUCUCCGGGGGUAGAGCACUGUUUCGGCAAGGGGGUCAUCCCGACUUACCAACCCGAUGCAAACUGCGAAUACCGGAGAAUGUUAUCACGGGAGACACACGGCGGGUGCUAACGUCCGUCGUGAAGAGGGAAACAACCCAGACCGCCAGCUAAGGUCCCAAAGUCAUGGUUAAGUGGGAAACGAUGUGGGAAGGCCCAGACAGCCAGGAUGUUGGCUUAGAAGCAGCCAUCAUUUAAAGAAAGCGUAAUAGCUCACUGGUCGAGUCGGCCUGCGCGGAAGAUGUAACGGGGCUAAACCAUGCACCGAAGCUGCGGCAGCGACACUAUGUGUUGUUGGGUAGGGGAGCGUUCUGUAAGCCUGUGAAGGUGGCCUGUGAGGGUUGCUGGAGGUAUCAGAAGUGCGAAUGCUGACAUAAGUAACGAUAAAGCGGGUGAAAAGCCCGCUCGCCGGAAGACCAAGGGUUCCUGUCCAACGUUAAUCGGGGCAGGGUGAGUCGACCCCUAAGGCGAGGCCGAAAGGCGUAGUCGAUGGGAAACAGGUUAAUAUUCCUGUACUUGGUGUUACUGCGAAGGGGGGACGGAGAAGGCUAUGUUGGCCGGGCGACGGUUGUCCCGGUUUAAGCGUGUAGGCUGGUUUUCCAGGCAAAUCCGGAAAAUCAAGGCUGAGGCGUGAUGACGAGGCACUACGGUGCUGAAGCGACAAAUGCCCUGCUUCCAGGAAAAGCCUCUAAGCAUCAGGUAACAUCAAAUCGUACCCCAAACCGACACAGGUGGUCAGGUAGAGAAUACCAAGGCGCUUGAGAGAACUCGGGUGAAGGAACUAGGCAAAAUGGUGCCGUAACUUCGGGAGAAGGCACGCUGAUAUGUAGGUGAAGCGACUUGCUCGUGGAGCUGAAAUCAGUCGAAGAUACCAGCUGGCUGCAACUGUUUAUUAAAAACACAGCACUGUGCAAACACGAAAGUGGACGUAUACGGUGUGACGCCUGCCCGGUGCCGGAAGGUUAAUUGAUGGGGUUAGCGGUAACGCGAAGCUCUUGAUCGAAGCCCCGGUAAACGGCGGCCGUAACUAUAACGGUCCUAAGGUAGCGAAAUUCCUUGUCGGGUAAGUUCCGACCUGCACGAAUGGCGUAAUGAUGGCCAGGCUGUCUCCACCCGAGACUCAGUGAAAUUGAACUCGCUGUGAAGAUGCAGUGUACCCGCGGCAAGACGGAAAGACCCCGUGAACCUUUACUAUAGCUUGACACUGAACAUUGAGCCUUGAUGUGUAGGAUAGGUGGGAGGCUUUGAAGUGUGGACGCCAGUCUGCAUGGAGCCGACCUUGAAAUACCACCCUUUAAUGUUUGAUGUUCUAACGUGGGCCCCUUACCGGGGUUGCGGACAGUGUCUGGUGGGUAGUUUGACUGGGGCGGUCUCCUCCUAAAGAGUAACGGAGGAGCACGAAGGUUGGCUAAUCCUGGUCGGACAUCAGGAGGUUAGUGCAAUGGCAUAAGCCAGCUUGACUGCGAGCGUGACGGCGCGAGCAGGUGCGAAAGCAGGUCAUAGUGAUCCGGUGGUUCUGAAUGGAAGGGCCAUCGCUCAACGGAUAAAAGGUACUCCGGGGAUAACAGGCUGAUACCGCCCAAGAGUUCAUAUCGACGGCGGUGUUUGGCACCUCGAUGUCGGCUCAUCACAUCCUGGGGCUGAAGUAGGUCCCAAGGGUAUGGCUGUUCGCCAUUUAAAGUGGUACGCGAGCUGGGUUUAGAACGUCGUGAGACAGUUCGGUCCCUAUCUGCCGUGGGCGCUGGAGAACUGAGGGGGGCUGCUCCUAGUACGAGAGGACCGGAGUGGACGCAUCACUGGUGUUCGGGUUGUCAUGCCAAUGGCACUGCCCGGUAGCUAAAUGCGGAAGAGAUAAGUGCUGAAAGCAUCUAAGCACGAAACUUGCCCCGAGAUGAGUUCUCCCUGACUCCUUGAGAGUCCUGAAGGAACGUUGAAGACGACGACGUUGAUAGGCCGGGUGUGUAAGCGCAGCGAUGCGUUGAGCUAACCGGUACUAAUGAACCGUGAGGCUUAACCUUACAACGCCGAAG